CCGAAGAUAACCGCAGUGCUAAGAAUGGCUGGAUGGACGUUGUACUCUUUGGCGAACACAAAUGGAACAAUUCCUUGCGGUAGUGCAGCCUGAACGAUAGCGACGCGGAGAAGAGUACCACGCAGGCCAACGGCAAUUGAAGCGGCAGCCAUCACUGCAGGACCAGUCAGGAAGCGAACAGCCAUGGCGAACGCAGCAACCGAGUUCCCACAGGCAAUUAUCUUCGGUUGUAAAGCCAUAAAUAGACCUAGGCUGAACAUAGCCAUGCCAAGGCCAGCAUCAGACAGUAUGGAAAUGGACUUCUCUAUUAUUUUAGGCAUAGCCACAUGCCACCGGAAUGAAACUAGAGACCAAACCAGGCCAAUGAGACUGGAGUAUGUGUUUGGAUUCCGAAUCAGUUUGCGCCAAACCAUGAUCAAUAUCAGACGGGUCAUAACGCUCGCCGGAGGCAUCUGUUUGUUGCCUCCAGAAUCUGGUGCUCCGGUGGCUUUUGGCUGGAG
RNAcentral lists this unclassified non-coding RNA (500 nucleotides) under Hevea brasiliensis (rubber tree). Lineage: Eukaryota; Viridiplantae; Streptophyta; Magnoliopsida; Malpighiales; Euphorbiaceae. The record is from RNAcentral.